UGUACGGAUUCUCUGUGCAGAAACUGUAGAGUCAAGAGGGGUCAAGGAAGUUUUGGGUUUAGUUUUUUCAAGGAGAGAUAUUACCUGUUUCUCUCAGUGCAUGCAUUAGGAAGAUUUUAAGAUCUUCUGCAAUGACCCACCAGAUUUGUGAUACUUAACACCAUCACACCAUCACCUGUGUGUGUGUGGGGGGGGGGGUGUGUGUCAGUGUUUCCCACUAGGAGGGUUUCAUAGAGUUGUGUUUUGUAGAGAAUGUGUGUGUGUGCGGAGGUGGGUAGGAAUUGGGUUAACGGUUGCUUUUGUAGUUGUUAUGAAAUUUGGCUUCAUUUCUUCUUGCUCAGGGUCUGCAUUCACAUCCUGAUAACUAAAAAUUUUAAGGAAACAAAUGUUAAGCUAGUUUACCUCCGCUGGAAGUGUUGAGAGAACUAGUGUUUGGGGGUAAUUUCUUUCCCCCAACUUAAAGGAAGUUGCCAAAAGUAUCGGAAGAAGUUGAGGCAGAGACACUCCCAAGGCCCUGAGACGAGACGUUGCCAGAAUACCUGGGUCUCAGGUCUGAUCAAUAACUAUGUGGAACACUGAACCGCUGUGUCUUUCGGUUCCAGCAGGUAUAAAGUGAGGAUAAUAUUUGCUCUACCUACUCCACGAGGUCUUUAUGAGGAUCAAAUAGCAUAGCGGGUGAAAGUGCUUCGCCAACUAUAAAGCAUUCUGUAAAUGUUAAGUAAUAGUGUUAAAAACAAGGUGGGCUUCAGGAUUUAGUGACAGUAUUUACAACAACUGGAGAAAAAUGGGAAUGUAACAAAAUCGGGUUGAGAAUAAUUACAGUACAUAGUAAUACCAGUAGAAUCUUCAAGAAUUUGCCUUUUGUGUACGUCAGGCUUUGUUAGUAACACCCCAAGUCCGCCGUAUUUGGGCCAUCAUAGAGUACCGUGGUCGACAGACGUGGCCGAGAGCCAGAGAAUCAGUCAGCUUGUCCCUGAGGAACCUCGGAAUCAUGAACAUCUGACUGUUUUGGCACAUAAACGUUGGUUUGCUGAAACUAUGUGGAAGAGCCACUCUCUUCAUGGAAAAUAUUCAAACUAUGAUGAUAAAUUUGAUGUCAGGCUUGAGAGCAUUUCUAUAUUUGAUACUCGAAGUGGAAUCAUGGUCAUACUUUAUUUUCAUAAGGAUUAUGUGAUGGGAAAUUGAGAAGUUUAAAAUGGGUAGCCAAGGUCACUCCCGUUGAUGAUGUGAAGACGAUGAGCGAUUCUCAACAAAACAAGUAUAAACCUGGACAAAGUUGACAAAAACAAUCAUUUCUGGUCACUGGAAAAGUGGGUGAUAAACAUGUUGGUGUUCUGGGUGAGAAGAGUGGGAGUUUGUGGCCUCCUUGUGUGGGGCCUCGUCUGUUCCCCCACCCCCACCUUAGUUGGUGAGAAUGGCAGUUUUGUCAUCCUCCAGUUUUUACCGGAAGUGAGGGACUUGGUAGUGGAGGCUGGGGUUGCGGGUGAAAACCCCACAGCUAAAAUUGGCAUACUCAGUUCAGGAAGGAUGGGGGGGACCUACAGCUUGGCCAUCUCAGGUUUUCAGUCCUGGUUUGGGGCCACCAGGCAGAAACUGAACAGGGUGAGCCUGGCGACGGGAGAGCCAUAGAAGGUCUGCGAUCAGCUCUCCGCACUUCCUUGGUGACUGCUAAACUCUGUUGUGGCCAGGGGACGGGUACUCAAGACAGUCACACAAAAAGCGAAAGCCCAGAGAGGCCCCUCAAAAGCUUGAGUGCAACUUGGAAUGCCCCUUGGCCCACAGACAACUCCAUCAGCCGAGUGGGGAACCCUCACAGGUGCAGAGUGUUUGGGCACCACCUCUGCCCAGACCUCCGGCUGACGCUAACCUGGGCAGACACAGAGGUGAUGUCUAGGGAGCCAGGCCAGAAACUAGAAAUGAGAAUUUUGGAAACUCAGCAAAAUCAUCAGGGGCUACACUUCAUUGAAAGAGACAGGUUCUGUAGUUUAAGUUUAGACAGAUUACUAAAAGAAGCAUCAACCCUUAGAGCCCUGAGCUUUAUCAGCUGAUGAGGAGAUGAAUAAAAUGUAGUAUAUCACAUAAUUAAUACUAUUUGGCAAUAAAAAAGAAUGAAGUACUGAAAGAUGCUACAAUGUGGAUAAACUUUAAAAACAUUAUGCUAAGUAAAAGAAGACAGUCCCAAAAAGCUGAUUAUAUGAUUCCAAUUAUAUGAAAUGUCAAGAAAGAUAUCCAUUCAUAACAGUAUCAAAAAGACCAAAAUACUUAGGAAUAAAUUUAACAAGAGAAGUGUAAGUCCUGUAUCCUGAACAGUACAUUUUUCUGAAGAAAAUGAGUGAGAAUAUACACUGAGUUUAUAGGUUGGAAGACUCAAUUUUGUUAAUGCACCAGCUUUCCCCAAAUUGAUCUAUAGAUUCAUCAAAGCCAUUGUCAAAAUCUCAGAAAAGAUUUUUGGAAAAGAAUAUUUCUAGAAAUUGGAAAACAGAUUCUAAAAUUUAUGUGGAAAUGCAGAGAAUGUAGAACAGUCAACAUAACUUUUAAAAAGAAGGAAGGGUACAGUUGGAGGAUUUAAACUACCCGAUCUCAAAACCUACUGUAAAGCUGCAGUAAUAAAAACAGUGUGGUAUUUGCAGACAGACGUCUCAGUCAGUGGAGCAGAAUAUCCAGAAAGAGAACACAGAAGUGGUCAGUUGCUUUUCAACCGAUGUGUUAAUGUGGUUCGAUAGAGAUAGCGCUGCCUUGUCAACAAACAGCACUGCCACAGUGGAAAGCCACGUGAAGUGAAAUGUACCUUGGCUUUUUACCUUACCACACACACACGCGGAUGCACUAAAAAUGGGUCGUAGACCAAAAUGUGAAGACAGAAGCAUGUCAGGAAGUCUUUGUGUCUUUGGGCUAGACAAAGAUGUAGUAAUAGGAUGUAAAAAGCGUGAAGUGUCAGAGAAAAAAUGAUAAAUUGGACUUAAUCAGAAUUAAAGUUUUGGUUUUCAAAAGACACCACCAUUAAGAAAGUGAAAAGUCAAGCCACAUGCUAGGAAAACAUAUUUACAAAAUACGUUUGAUAGAGGAUUUUUAUCUAGGAAAAAAUCCGUCGUAAGACAGCAACCUGAUGUAAAUGAUGUGCACAAGAUUUGGAUAGACAUUUCACCCAAGAAGAUGUAUGAAUGGCAAAGAAGCACAUGGAAAGAGUUUCAGCAUAUGUAAUUAGUCAUUAGAGAAAUGCAGAUUAAAGCUGUAGAUAAGAUAAUUGCGUCACAGUCACUCUAAUCAAUAAAAUUAAAAAGAUUACGAUCCCUGUGUUUGUUGGCAGGAAUGUGGAAACACCCGAAACCUCACACGUUGCUGGCGGGAACAUAACGUGAUGCAGUUGUGUUGGAAGACAGGCAGUUUCUUUACAAGCUUAACACACAGUUAAGCAGUUCCAAUCCUAGGUGUGCUCUAAGGCGGGGGUGUCGAACCCAUGUUCACCGGGGGCCACGUCAGCCUCAUGCUUGCCUUCAAAGGGCCGAAUGUAAUGUUAGGACUGUAUGAAUGUCAGUACUCCUUUACAGUUAAGCGGGAGCUUGGUGCGGCUGCUGGGUAGAAACAAGGUGGAGGGCUGGAUUUGGCCCGUGGGCCUUGUGUUUGCCCCCUGUGCUCUAAGGACAAAUAACAGAGUGUGUUCAGAUAAAGACUCGUAUGCAGUGUUCAUAGCAGCUUUAUUUGCAAUUGCUCAGUGAUGAAAAGGAGUGGAUUAUAUAUAUAUAUACACACACACGCACAACAAUGUGGAUGAAUCUCAAAAUAAUUAAUGCUGUAUGAAAAAUUCAGACACCCCCUCCUCCCGACGAUGCUCCAUUUAGGUGAAAUUCUAGAAAAUGCAAACUAAUCUAUAGUGACAGAGAGCAGAUUAGUGGUUGCCUGAGGAUGACUCGGGAGAGAAGGAAGAAGAGGAUUCCAAAGGGAAAGGCACAGUGAAACACUGGGGGUGAUGUAUAUGUUCCUUUUCUUGUUUAUGCAUGAUAGUUUCAUGGUGUAUACAUAUGUCAAAUUGUACAUUUUAAAUAUGUGCAAUUUAGUAUGAAACAAUUACAAUUUAAUAAGGUUAUUCUUAAAAACAUGCCCAUUCAAAAACAAACAAACA
This is a long non-coding RNA of Phyllostomus discolor (pale spear-nosed bat), 4120 nucleotides long. RefSeq lists it as uncharacterized. The transcript is spliced from 2 exons. NCBI's taxonomy places the organism in Eukaryota, Metazoa, Chordata, Mammalia, Chiroptera, Phyllostomidae. The record is from RefSeq and is a predicted model, not a curated record.